AAUAUAGCAUCAUUUCAGCGUUUGCCAUUGAGACAAAUUCCUAGUAUUCCUUUAUUUUUCAGGAAAUAGUCCUACUUGCAUUUAAUUGAAAUGAAUCACGCCUGUUCACCCAAAAGCAGAAUGAAUGACUUGGCUCUUUAGGGCAUCUACACAGCAAACAUUCCAUUUUACUCUAUCGAAAUCAUAAACCACCACCAGACAUACACAACAUCCAUGACUAGCCAGGAUGCGAACCCGGUACCUUCGGCAUCACAGCCGACUCUUCAGUCCACUGUAGUACCGAGUUGUCUCAUCAAAUUCCAGACCAUCAUAUUGUCUACAGGAAAAGUCCUUCAUAACUCCUCCAAGAAAUCCAAAAAUUGAAGCAUUCAACACUCUGAGAAUAAAAGAUAUGAGACGUGUCAAACAGAAAUCUUUUAACGACCACAGAUUCUCAACGAAAUCAAUAAAAAACAAACCCAAUAAUUUGAAGAAGAUAUGCCGGAAGAUAACAUAUGGAGAACUCGAGUCGGAGAGCGCCUUCAUUUCUGGACCUUCAUACGUUGUGAAUAAUUUCAAAUUUAGAACUGCACUGAGGAAAUUAUUAGCCAGUCUUAGGGAGGCAGGAGGAAAAUGUACUGAUCUUUCAGUUAGUUAUAACGAUACUAUUGAACAACUUCAAAAUGAAAAUGAGCAACUGCAAAAUGGUUAGCACAAUCUAAUUUGGAAUAAACAUCAAAAAUGGGAAUAAACAACUUCAAAAUGGCUGACACAAUCAAAUUGGAAAUAAACAACUUCAAAAUGAGAAUAGACAACUUCAGAAUGGUUAACACAAUCAAAUUGGGAAUAAACACAUUCGAAUUGGGACUAAACCAUUCCAAAUUGAGAAAUGGAAUUUAUAUUUAAAUUUGAUACUUCAAUGCAAUUGCCAAAUUAUAUAGGUACCAGAGAGAUAAUUUAUAAGUGCUAUAAUAUAUAUGCCAGGUUACAGUUUAUUAGGAUGUAUACUAUUUUUGCUAUACAUAAAUGACUUGACAGGAAUUACAAUAGAAGAAUUGAUGAUACUAUUUGUUGAUGUAUUGAUCUCGGAUGCAAAUUUUCAAAAUCUAUUAAUCAAGACAACAAACAUUUAUAUGAGAAUAGAAGAAUGGCUGAAAGCUCGCAAGCUCAAACUAAACACUGCCAAAACAACUAUCAUGUGCUUCAGAACAAAACAGUCUACGCAAAUUAUACCUGAAGAAUUAAAAAUUGUUGAAACAACUUUCAAACUCCAGGAAACUACGAAAUUUCUUGGAUGAACACCUUACUUGCGGAGAACACAUAGAAAAAACCAACAGCAGCUUGAACUGAGUGUGCUACACAAUCCAAAUACUAAGG
Harmonia axyridis is the source of this 1356-nucleotide RNA transcript. RefSeq lists it as uncharacterized. Lineage: Eukaryota; Metazoa; Arthropoda; Insecta; Coleoptera; Coccinellidae. The record is from RefSeq and is a predicted model, not a curated record. The transcript is spliced from 5 exons.